GUACACGCUGUGACUAGCAUAUCAAUAAGCGGAGGAAAAGAAACCUAACAAGGAUUCCCCUAGUAACGGCGAGUGAAGCGGGAAGAGCUCAAAUUUGAAAUCUUAAAGGGUUUCCCUUUACGAAUUGUAGUUUAAAGAAGCGUUUUCUGUUGAGGCUUUGGUAAAAGUUCUUUGGAAUAGGACAUCAUAGAGGGUGAGAAUCCCGUAUUUGACCUUUACUUUCAACUUUGUGAUACACUUUCAAAGAGUCGGAUUGUUUGGGAAUGCAGUCCAAAAUGGGUGGUAAAUUUCAUCUAAAGCUAAAUAUUGGCGAGAGACCGAUAGCGAACAAGUACCGUGAGGGAAAGAUGAAAAGAACUUUGAAAAGAGAGUUAAACAGUACGUGAAAUUGUCAAAAGGGAAGCGUUUGACACCAGUGUUGUUUUUCUGAAAAUCAAUUAAAGAACUGUUUAUGCUAAGCUGUUUAGACUUUAUCAGCUAUCUGUUUAGUUUUGAGCUUUUCUUUAAUGCACUUUUCAGUUAACAAGUCAACAUCAAUUUCUUUCGCUGUAAAAAAGCUUGAGGAAGGUGGCUUGAGAUUCGUCUUAAGUGUUUAUAGCCUCUUGCCUAUGCAGUCGGAGAGAUUGAGGUCUGCAGCGUAGAUCCUCGGGGCUAAAUGCAUUUGUGCUAAGUUAUAGCAUUUUAUAGACAACUUGUUGACUAUGAUUUGUCUUGUAGCUUACUCGCUUAUGUUAUUUUACCUACGCUUAGGAUGUUGAGUCGUAGAGCACGCAG
This 774-nucleotide ribosomal RNA is filed under the name uncultured Neocallimastigales. RNAcentral describes it as "partial large subunit ribosomal RNA". It matches the Rfam family "Eukaryotic large subunit ribosomal RNA", at positions 22 to 628 of the family's 3401-position model. Lineage: Eukaryota; Fungi; Neocallimastigomycota; Neocallimastigomycetes; Neocallimastigales. The record is from RNAcentral.